GAAUUUUAUAUAAGUUUUAAUUGAUUUAUAUGUAAUAAAUUAGAGUUUAUAUUUGGUUGGGAGGAUUAUUAAAUUUAAUGAACUUUAAUAAAAAGAAACAUUAAUUUAUGAUUUAGAUUUUAUAGUGAUAGAUGAUUAAGGUUUUAUAAUCUUAUGGUAGAAUUAAUUACCUUAGGGAUAACAGCGUAAUAUUUUUAAAAAGAUCUUAUUGAUAAGAAUGAUUGC
RNAcentral lists this ribosomal RNA (225 nucleotides) under Camponotus femoratus. Its description in RNAcentral is "partial large subunit ribosomal RNA". The record is from RNAcentral. Lineage: Eukaryota; Metazoa; Arthropoda; Insecta; Hymenoptera; Formicidae.